RNAcentral lists this ribosomal RNA (646 nucleotides) under uncultured Halobacillus sp. RNAcentral describes it as "bacterial SSU rRNA". It matches the Rfam family "Bacterial small subunit ribosomal RNA", at positions 338 to 974 of the family's 1533-position model. Lineage: Bacteria; Bacillati; Bacillota; Bacilli; Caryophanales; Bacillaceae. The record is from RNAcentral.
CCUACGGGAGGCAGCAGUAGGGAAUCUUCCGCAAUGGACGAAAGUCUGACGGAGCAACGCCGCGUGAACGAUGAAGGUCUUCGGAUCGUAAAGUUCUGUUGUUAGGGAAGAACAAGUGCCGAGCGAAUAGAGCGGCACCUUGACGGUACCUAACGAGGAAGCCCCGGCUAACUACGUGCCAGCAGCCGCGGUAAUACGUAGGGGGCAAGCGUUGUCCGGAAUUAUUGGGCGUAAAGCGCGCGCAGGCGGUUCCUUAGGUCUGAUGUGAAAGCCCACGGCUCAACCGUGGAGGGUCAUUGGAAACUGGGGAACUUGAGGACAGAAGAGGAGAGUGGAAUUCCACGUGUAGCGGUGAAAUGCGUAGAUAUGUGGAGGAACACCAGUGGCGAAGGCGACUCUCUGGUCUGUUUCUGACGCUGAGGUGCGAAAGCGUGGGUAGCAAACAGGAUUAGAUACCCUGGUAGUCCACGCCGUAAACGAUGAGUGCUAGGUGUUAGGGGGCUUCCACCCCUUAGUGCUGAAGUUAACGCAUUAAGCACUCCGCCUGGGGAGUACGGCCGCAAGGCUGAAACUCAAAGGAAUUGACGGGGGCCCGCACAAGCGGUGGAGCAUGUGGUUUAAUUCGAAGCAACGCGAAGAACCUUAC